GACGAACGCUGGCGGCGUGCUUAACACAUGCAAGUCGAGCGACGCACCCCCCUCGGGGGGUGACGGAGCGGCGAACGGGUGAGUAACACGUGAGCAACCUGCCCCUGACACUGGGAUAAGCCCGGGAAACCGGGUCUAAUACCGGAUACGACCACCGGGGACAUCCUCUGGUGGUGGAAAGCUCCGACGGUCAGGGAUGGGCUCGCGGCCUAUCAGCUAGUUGGUGGGGUAACGGCCCACCAAGGCGUCGACGGGUAGCCGGCCUGAGAGGGUGAUC
RNAcentral lists this ribosomal RNA (277 nucleotides) under uncultured bacterium. Its description in RNAcentral is "partial 16S ribosomal RNA". It matches the Rfam family "Bacterial small subunit ribosomal RNA", at positions 28 to 305 of the family's 1533-position model. The record is from RNAcentral.